AUAUCAAGUGCAUUGUUGGAGGUUAGGGUUUUGAGAAUAGAUGGUGUUUUUGGGUGUUUGAAGUAUUACACCAAGAGGCAUCAAAAUUUGGAAUGCUUAAUAGUGUUACCUCCAGUUUAGAGAAAUCUUAGGGUUAAUAAGCUAUUGAGCUCCAGUUAAUAUGGAUCUUAAUACGCUUUCACCUAUUGGGCUUGUAUGUGAACAUAUUAUUUGGAUUAUAUAACAAUAUAUCCAACAAUCUCCUUCUAUAUUCUCUAUACAGCACAAUCCAAUACGGUAGUUAGUGUAAUGUUCAAACAAAUAUGCAUCAUCCACAUUCAGUCCAAGACAAUCAACUCGAAUUAAAACUCAAUCAUCAAUUACAAUCCAAAUGAGUGAAUCAUUCUUAUCAUGAAUCUGUUCUGAGAUCGGCAUACCCAAAAUAAUUCUCAAAAUCAGUUCACAACCAACAUAUGCAUAACAGUCAGAUAUAAGUAGGCCAGUCAAAAUAAUCCAAGGCUUUACAAAUACAAGAAA
RNAcentral lists this long non-coding RNA (516 nucleotides) under Ananas comosus (pineapple). Its description in RNAcentral is "long non-coding RNA (ACOM_LNC019204)". Lineage: Eukaryota; Viridiplantae; Streptophyta; Magnoliopsida; Poales; Bromeliaceae. The record is from RNAcentral.